This 2389-nucleotide ribosomal RNA is filed under the name Salmonella enterica subsp. enterica serovar Oranienburg. RNAcentral describes it as "bacterial LSU rRNA". It matches the Rfam family "Bacterial large subunit ribosomal RNA", at positions 451 to 2823 of the family's 2925-position model. Lineage: Bacteria; Pseudomonadati; Pseudomonadota; Gammaproteobacteria; Enterobacterales; Enterobacteriaceae. The record is from RNAcentral.
GACCAUCCUCCAAGGCUAAAUACUCCUGACUGACCGAUAGUGAACCAGUACCGUGAGGGAAAGGCGAAAAGAACCCCGGCGAGGGGAGUGAAAAAGAACCUGAAACCGUGUACGUACAAGCAGUGGGAGCACCCUUUGGGGUGUGACUGCGUACCUUUUGUAUAAUGGGUCAGCGACUUAUAUUCUGUAGCAAGGUUAACCGAAUAGGGGAGCCGGAGGGAAACCGAGUCUUAAUUGGGCGUUAAGUUGCAGGGUAUAGACCCGAAACCCGGUGAUCUAGCCAUGGGCAGGUUGAAGGUUGGGUAACACUAACUGGAGGACCGAACCGACUAAUGUUGAAAAAUUAGCGGAUGACCUGUGGCUGGGGGUGAAAGGCCAAUCAAACCGGGAGAUAGCUGGUUCUCCCCGAAAGCUAUUUAGGUAGCGCCUCGUGAAUUCAUCUCCGGGGGUAGAGCACUGUUUCGGCUAGGGGGCCAUCCCGGCUUACCAACCCGAUGCAAACUGCGAAUACCGGAGAAUGUUAUCACGGGAGACACACGGCGGGUGCUAACGUCCGUCGUGAAGAGGGAAACAACCCAGACCGCCAGCUAAGGUCCCAAAGUCAUGGUUAAGUGGGAAACGAUGUGGGAAGGCCCAGACAGCCAGGAUGUUGGCUUAGAAGCAGCCAUCAUUUAAAGAAAGCGUAAUAGCUCACUGGUCGAGUCGGCCUGCGCGGAAGAUGUAACGGGGCUAAACCAUGCACCGAAGCUGCGGCAGCGACACUCAGGUGUCGUUGGGUAGGGGAGCGUUCUGUAAGCCUGCGAAGGUGGCCUGUGAGGGUUGCUGGAGGUAUCAGAAGUGCGAAUGCUGACAUAAGUAACGAUAAAGCGGGUGAAAAGCCCGCUCGCCGGAAGACCAAGGGUUCCUGUCCAACGUUAAUCGGGGCAGGGUGAGUCGACCCCUAAGGCGAGGCCGAAAGGCGUAGUCGAUGGGAAACGGGUUAAUAUUCCCGUACUUGGUGUUACUGCGAAGGGGGGACGGAGAAGGCUAUGUUGGCCGGGCGACGGUUGUCCCGGUUUAAGCGUGUAGGUGUGUGUUCCAGGUAAAUCCGGUUCACUUUAACACUGAGGCGUGACGACGAGGCACUACGGUGCUGAAGCAACAAAUGCCCUGCUUCCAGGAAAAGCCUCUAAGCAUCAGGUAACAUCAAAUCGUACCCCAAACCGACACAGGUGGUCAGGUAGAGAAUACCAAGGCGCUUGAGAGAACUCGGGUGAAGGAACUAGGCAAAAUGGUGCCGUAACUUCGGGAGAAGGCACGCUGACACGUAGGUGAAGUGAUUUACUCAUGGAGCUGAAGUCAGUCGAAGAUACCAGCUGGCUGCAACUGUUUAUUAAAAACACAGCACUGUGCAAACACGAAAGUGGACGUAUACGGUGUGACGCCUGCCCGGUGCCGGAAGGUUAAUUGAUGGGGUCAGCGCAAGCGAAGCUCCUGAUCGAAGCCCCGGUAAACGGCGGCCGUAACUAUAACGGUCCUAAGGUAGCGAAAUUCCUUGUCGGGUAAGUUCCGACCUGCACGAAUGGCGUAAUGAUGGCCAGGCUGUCUCCACCCGAGACUCAGUGAAAUUGAACUCGCUGUGAAGAUGCAGUGUACCCGCGGCAAGACGGAAAGACCCCGUGAACCUUUACUAUAGCUUGACACUGAACAUUGAGCCUUGAUGUGUAGGAUAGGUGGGAGGCUUUGAAGUGUGGACGCCAGUCUGCAUGGAGCCGGCCUUGAAAUACCACCCUUUAAUGUUUGAUGUUCUAACGUGGACCCGUGAUCCGGGUUGCGGACAGUGUCUGGUGGGUAGUUUGACUGGGGCGGUCUCCUCCUAAAGAGUAACGGAGGAGCACGAAGGUUGGCUAAUCCUGGUCGGACAUCAGGAGGUUAGUGCAAUGGCAUAAGCCAGCUUGACUGCGAGCGUGACGGCGCGAGCAGGUGCGAAAGCAGGUCAUAGUGAUCCGGUGGUUCUGAAUGGAAGGGCCAUCGCUCAACGGAUAAAAGGUACUCCGGGGAUAACAGGCUGAUACCGCCCAAGAGUUCAUAUCGACGGCGGUGUUUGGCACCUCGAUGUCGGCUCAUCACAUCCUGGGGCUGAAGUAGGUCCCAAGGGUAUGGCUGUUCGCCAUUUAAAGUGGUACGCGAGCUGGGUUUAGAACGUCGUGAGACAGUUCGGUCCCUAUCUGCCGUGGGCGCUGGAGAACUGAGGGGGGCUGCUCCUAGUACGAGAGGACCGGAGUGGACGCAUCACUGGUGUUCGGGUUGUCAUGCCAAUGGCACUGCCCGGUAGCUAAAUGCGGAAGAGAUAAGUGCUGAAAGCAUCUAAGCACGAAACUUGCCCCGAGAUGAGUUCUCCCUGAGACUU